This is a long non-coding RNA of Eptesicus fuscus (big brown bat), 339 nucleotides long. RefSeq lists it as uncharacterized. Lineage: Eukaryota; Metazoa; Chordata; Mammalia; Chiroptera; Vespertilionidae. The transcript has 3 exons. The record is from RefSeq and is a predicted model, not a curated record.
GAACCGUCUUGGCGAGGGAGGCCGUUGUGGAGGCGAAGGUUGCUCAUCAUCGUCCUGGGCAGUAGGUACUGCUCUCCCCGCUAGUUGACAGGAAUGUUAGAGGCAGCGACUCAGCCCGGCCGCCACCCCCACCUGCCCGUGAAUGGACGGACAGCCAGCUGCUCACGUCACACAGAGGCCGCGGGUCGAGCCCCUGAGGGAAGAGGUGCCCGGGAGCCAUCUCACCCCGAACGCAGACCUGAACCUGAUCAAACGCCUCAUCCCACCACCACUUGCAGGAAUGACAGGGGCCAGAGGAACAGGUGCAGGGCACCUCGGGAUGCUAAAACAAUUUGAUUU